CGCUGGCGGCGUGCCUAACACAUGCAAGUCGAGCGGGAUUCAUUCGGUGGUAACACUGAUGAAGAUCUAGCGGCGAACGGGUGAGUAACACGUGAACAACCUGCCCCGAAGUCUGGGAUAACCCGAGGAAACUCGAGCUAAUACCGGAUACCCCCUACUGAUCGCAUGAUCGGUAGAGGAAAGAUUUAUUGCUUCGGGAGGGGUUCGCGGCCUAUCAGCUAGUUGGUGAGGUAAUGGCUCACCAAGGCAUCGACGGGUAGCUGGUCUGAGAGGACGAUCAGCCACACUGGGACUGAGACACGGCCCAGACUCCUACGGGAGGCAGCAGUGGGGAAUCUUGCGCAAUGGGCGAAAGCCUGACGCAGCAACGCCGCGUGCGAGAGGAAGGCCUUAGGGUCGUAAAUCGCUUUCGACAGGGACGAAAUUGACGGUACCUGUAGAAGAAGCCCCGGCCAACUACGUGCCAGCAGCCGCGGUAACACGUAGGGGGCGAGCGUUGUCCGGAUUUAUUGGGCGUAAAGAGCUCGUAGGCGGCUCAGUAAGUCUGCUGUGAAAGCUCCAGGCUUAACCUGGAGAGGCCAGUGGAUACUGCUAUGGCUAGAGUCCGGUAGGGGAGCGUGGAAUUCCCCAGUGUAGCGGUGGAAUGCGCAGAUAUUGGGAGGAACACCAGCGGCGAANGCGGCGCUCUGGGACCGGAACUGACGCUGAGGAGCGAAAGCAUGGGUAGCAAACAGGAUUAGAUACCCUGGUAGUCCAUGCCGUAAACGUUGGGCACUAGGUGUGGGAU
This 787-nucleotide ribosomal RNA is filed under the name uncultured bacterium. Its description in RNAcentral is "bacterial SSU rRNA". It matches the Rfam family "Bacterial small subunit ribosomal RNA", at positions 34 to 828 of the family's 1533-position model. The record is from RNAcentral.